GUGUGUGAAUUGAAGCGUCUCCGUGUGGUCGGCGAACACUGCAACAUGCGACAUGUCGGUACCAUACUCCACCACACGGAGAUGACUCUGAUUCACUCAC
This 100-nucleotide microRNA precursor is filed under the name Spodoptera frugiperda (fall armyworm). RNAcentral describes it as "microRNA sfr-mir-10475 precursor". The record is from miRBase by way of RNAcentral. Lineage: Eukaryota; Metazoa; Arthropoda; Insecta; Lepidoptera; Noctuidae.